UCCCAUCAACCUGUGUUCUACUGCAUCA
This 28-nucleotide non-coding RNA is filed under the name Mus musculus (house mouse). The record is from RNAcentral. Lineage: Eukaryota; Metazoa; Chordata; Mammalia; Rodentia; Muridae.